AUUAGUUUUUCUUUAUAGUACAGAUAGCUGAGUUACAUACUAUGAAUGAACACAAGUUUUCAUAAAUCAUAGGGAGAUCUUUCCUUGUAAAUUAUCUUCUUUGGAUUGCUCGAAUUGGAACCAGGUUGACUGACUCGAGGUCCAGUUCCCUAUGCUUCAGUUUUUGGAAUAGUUGGUUUGUAGAAAUAAGAAUACUUUUUUGGUUCAUCUCCAGAUUUGUAGUUCAUAGACACAGAAGAUGCAAGUUUCACUAGACUUUGUUGAGCCUUUUGUAAGACUCUAGUUGUCUUCACUUUAGCUAUAUAAAAGCCAAUAGCAUCUACAUACCAUCCACUUCUUCCUUUAAAGCCUACAAUCUGCCCACCUUCCAUUGGCAUGGAAAAUGGCGUUCCUCCUUCAACACCAAAUGGUCCAAAUUUUCGUUUGUUGCUGCUAAAAGUGAGGGACCUUAUCACAGGACUACCACCAUACACCACCGGGCAAUAAUAGCCGCUAACGCUCGUUAGGUAUUCUUCUGGAAAUUGCAGCUUAAUCUGCGCAGUUCUACUGCCUCCAACUCCUCCAUGCUUCUCUGCUUGAUAAGGCUGGCCAUUUUGGUCAUAGACAACAGUGAUGGAGUCUAUACAAAGAGAAUAGACAAGGGUAAUUUCUCUAACUCCAUUGAAGCUACCAUCAUCCCAAGGGCUUCCACCAUGACCACCCCAUGAUCCAAUGACGAUCCUCUUCUUUAUUUCGCUUCCUUCGUCCCAGUCCAUCACCGUAAAUGCAAAGAUAUGAUUCCAAACCUAAUCAAGUUGAUUUCAAGAAAGAACCGGUUUUAUAUAGUGGUAGAAGCCAACUUAUCGUUGUA
This 850-nucleotide unclassified non-coding RNA is filed under the name Hevea brasiliensis (rubber tree). The record is from RNAcentral. Lineage: Eukaryota; Viridiplantae; Streptophyta; Magnoliopsida; Malpighiales; Euphorbiaceae.